CCUACGGGGAAGCAGCAGUAGGGAAUCUUCCACAAUGGACGAAAGUCUGAUGGAGCAACGCCGCGUGAGUGAUGAAGGUUUUCGGAUCGUAAAACUCUGUUGUUAAAGAAGAACAAGUGUUAGAGUAACUGUUAACACUUUGACGGUAUUUAACCAGAAAGCCACGGCUAACUACGUGCCAGCAGCCGCGGUAAUACGUAGGUGGCAAGCGUUGUCCGGAUUUAUUGGGCGUAAAGCGAGCGCAGGCGGUUUUGUAAGUCUGCUGUGAAAGCCCUCAGCUCAACUGAGGAAGUGCAGUGGAAACUACAAAACUUGAGUACAGAAGAGGAAAGUGGAACUCCAUGUGUAGCGGUGAAAUGCGUAGAUAUAUGGAAGAACACCAGUGGCGAAGGCGGCUUUCUGGUCUGUUACUGACGCUGAGGCUCGAAAGCAUGGGUAGCGAACAGGAUUAGAUACCCUGGUAGUCCAUGCCGUAAACGAUGAAUACUAGGUGUUGGAGGGUUUCCGCCCUUCAGUGCCGCAGCUAACGCAUUAAGUAUCCGCCCUGGGAAUACG
This 555-nucleotide ribosomal RNA is filed under the name Apilactobacillus kunkeei. RNAcentral describes it as "bacterial SSU rRNA". It matches the Rfam family "Bacterial small subunit ribosomal RNA", at positions 338 to 884 of the family's 1533-position model. The record is from RNAcentral. Lineage: Bacteria; Bacillati; Bacillota; Bacilli; Lactobacillales; Lactobacillaceae.